GCCAGCCCGCUCAGAACUUAAAGGAAUUGACGGGGGCCCGCACAAGCGGAGGAACAUGUGGUUUAAUUCGAUGAUACGCGAGGAACCUUACCUGGGCUAGAACGCAAUCGGAAUCGGGCCGAAAGGUCUGCGCCAGCGAUGGCCGCUUGCGAGGUGCUGCAUGGUUGUCGUCAGCUCGUGCCGUGAGGUGUCGGGUUAAGUCCCAUAACGAGCGCAACCCCUACUGCUAGUUGCCAGCGGGUCAUGCCGGGGACUCUAGCGGAACUGCCAGCGUAAGCUGCGAGGAAGGUGGGGAUGACGUCAAAUCAGCACGGCCCUUACGUCCAGGGCUACACACGUGUUACAAUGGCCAGUACAGAGGGCAGCCACCCCGCGAGGGGGCGCUAAUCCUAAAAGCUGGUCCCAGUUCGGAUUGGAGUCUGCAACUCGACUCCAUGAAGUUGGAAUCGCUAGUAAUCGUGGAUCAGCAUGCCACGGUGAAUACGUUCCCGGGCCUU
This 497-nucleotide ribosomal RNA is filed under the name uncultured Rikenellaceae bacterium. RNAcentral describes it as "bacterial SSU rRNA". It matches the Rfam family "Bacterial small subunit ribosomal RNA", at positions 903 to 1382 of the family's 1533-position model. The record is from RNAcentral. Lineage: Bacteria; Pseudomonadati; Bacteroidota; Bacteroidia; Bacteroidales; Rikenellaceae.